CUUGGUCAUUUAGAGGAAGUAAAAGUCGUAACAAGGUUUCCGUAGGUGAACCUGCGGAAGGAUCAUUACCGAAGUACAGGCCCUCUCGUAGGGCUAAACUUCCACCCUUUGUGAACUACACUUUGUUGCUUUGGCGAGACGCCCUCGUGGCCACCGGCUCCGGCUGGUGCGCGCUCGCCAGAGAAAACCCAAACCCAAACCAUAUUUAGUGAUUUGUCUGAAAACAAGUUUAAUUAUUUAAAACUUUCAACAACGGAUCUCUUGGCUCUGGCAUCGAUGAAGAACGCAGCGAAAUGCGAUAAGUAAUGUGAAUUGCAGAAUUCAGUGAAUCAUCGAAUCUUUGAACGCACAUUGCGCCCCUUGGUAUUCCGGGGGGCAUGCCUGUUCGAGCGUCAUUAUCACCCCUCAAGCUCAGCUUGGUGUUGGGGCCUGCCCGUCACAGGGCAGCCCUUAAAAGCAGUGGCGGUGCCAUCUGGCUCUACGCGUAGUAAUACUCCUCGCGACAGAGUCCCGGUGGUGUCCUGCCAGAACCCCAAAUUUUUUCAUGAUUGACCUCGGAUCAGGUAGGGAUACCCGCUGAACUUAAGCAUAUCAAUAAGCGGAGGAAAAGAAACCAACAGGGAUUGCCUCAGUAACGGCGAGUGAAGCGGCAAAAGCUCAAAUUUGAAAUCGGCCUCCAGGUCGAGUUGUAAUUUGUAGAUUGUAUCUUGAGAGCGGAUUAAAGUCUGUUGGAACACAGCGCCUUAGAGGGUGACAGCCCCGUAAAAUCUAUUCUCAUUGUAAGAUACUUUCGAAGAGUCGAGUAGUUUGGGAAU
This 815-nucleotide small RNA is filed under the name uncultured Chalara. RNAcentral's name for it is "eukaryotic LSU rRNA". The stretch from base 550 to 815 matches the Rfam family "Eukaryotic large subunit ribosomal RNA", at positions 1 to 281 of the family's 3401-position model. Lineage: Eukaryota; Fungi; Ascomycota; Leotiomycetes; Helotiales. The record is from RNAcentral.